RNAcentral lists this transfer RNA (74 nucleotides) under Prasiola crispa. RNAcentral's name for it is "tRNA-Ile". The record is from RNAcentral. Lineage: Eukaryota; Viridiplantae; Chlorophyta; Trebouxiophyceae; Prasiolales; Prasiolaceae.
UCUUCGCUCAAGGCUGCUGAGGCUUUUCUUACCUAGAUCUUAAUAACUGCUUUUUUUUAAGGUUAAGCAGUUAU